CACUUUUGACGUAAAAAUCGGGAAACCGGUGAUUUAUUUGUGUUAUUAACGGUGAUCGCCGAAGUUCUAAUUAGGAGAAGAGGAAGAUGAACGCCUACAAAUGAAACUAAAGUCGCAUUUAAGAGCGCAUCACAACACCUGAUGCGUUGCGUUUACAUGAUGCGGUGAUAUUGCGACAAUUUCGCGCGAUGCGCCCUUCGCAAAAUGCGCUAUGAUGUACGCAUCAUUGUUUGUUAUGUUUUUUUUCCCAGAUUUUAUGAAAUGGGUUGGGUUUUUUCAAUAAUUAAUAUUUUAGCAUGCUUGAUUUGAACCAUUAUGGUUCCUAAACACUUUUUAUGGUUCUAGAAACAUUUUAGGAAGCUUGAUUUGAACCAAAAAGCACAAUUCUUAUCUUAUUAUGUCGAUUGUUUUAGUCUAAAUAAUUUUUUAGUAUAUUUUUAUAAAGAGCGCAUCGAAUACGUGAUGCGCUCGCAUUACGCAUCACGCAUCGGAUUUUUGGACCAAACGCAUCGGAGCGCAUCACGCAAUUUAAAACCAAGUAUGUUACGGAUAUUAAUAGACAUGCAUACAUAGAUCAUUAUAUGCAUAUGUGUAUUUGCAUACAUAUGUUCAAUUGUUCAUCGUGUGGUUAAGCCUAUUUUCUUUCGUAAUCGAACUCCCAAGUAUGUUUUUGAGAAGACUGGUGAGGUGGGAAGCUCGUUAUCAGAGAAGACAAGCCAAGUCAUGUACAUGUGGCUAGCUAGUGAUGGAAAGGAGACUGAUAAAGAUGAUUGAAGUGUGAAAGCAUGUACAACUAGCUAGCACAUGGCAAAGGUUAAAUUUUAACUGGUAGUGCUGAAGAAACAGCAGAAGAGAAAGGUAAUUAUGCAUAUGAUGCUAUAACUGAUGGUGUGAGUAAAGAAAUGACCAUAGGUUCAGAUAUGGACCAAAGACACUGUGAAUGAUAUGAUGAUAGGGUAUUCAUAUGAGAAAGCAGAUCAAUACAAAUGCAAACAGACGCAGACGAAGGUUCCGAAGUCAAAGCAUUCAUGAAUCAAGGAGCGACGGUGGAUGGUAAACAAAUCUCUGCCAAUGACUAUGCAGUCAAACUGAUGCUUAUGAUGGCUUCGGAGAAGACCAGUGAAGCUAAAAGAUUCUUUAAAGAAGCAACAUUUCAAGGAAGCAUCAAGCUUUUGAUACAUACGGUGCAACUUAAGCUAAGGAUGAUGAAUCUUAAGGGGUUUCAAAGGAUUGUAUGAAGGAGCAGGCUAAGGAAAUCUACGAGGUUGCUAAAGAAAAAGCAUCAGAUGCUGCAGGCAACGGGAUGCAGCUAAAGCUGAGGUUGGUGACUCUUUGAUUUCAAAGGACUCAAUGAAGGGGCAGGCUAAAGAAAACUAUGAGGUUGCCAAGGAA
RNAcentral lists this long non-coding RNA (1392 nucleotides) under Helianthus annuus (common sunflower). Lineage: Eukaryota; Viridiplantae; Streptophyta; Magnoliopsida; Asterales; Asteraceae. The record is from RNAcentral.